CCUACGGGAGGCAGCAGUGAGGAAUAUUGGUCAAUGGACGAGAGUCUGAACCAGCCAAGUAGCGUGAAGGAUGACUGCCCUAUGGGUUGUAAACUUCUUUUAUAUGGGAAUAAAAUGUUCCACGUGUGGGAUUUUGUAUGUACCAUAUGAAUAAGGAUCGGCUAACUCCGUGCCAGCAGCCGCGGUAAUACGGAGGAACCGAGCGUUAUCCGGAUUUAUUGGGUUUAAAGGGAGCGUAGGUGGAUUGUUAAGUCAGUUGUGAAAGUUUGCGGCUCAACCGUAAAAUUGCAGUUGAAACUGGCAGUCGUGAGUACAGUAGAGGUGGGCGGAAGUAGUGGUGUAGCGGUGAAAUGCUUAGAUAUCACGAAGAACUCCGAUUGCGAAGGCAGCUCACUGGACUGCAACUGACACUGAGGCUCGAAAGUGUGGGUAUCAAACAGGAUUAGAUACCCUGGUAGUC
RNAcentral lists this ribosomal RNA (460 nucleotides) under uncultured bacterium. Its description in RNAcentral is "partial 16S ribosomal RNA". It matches the Rfam family "Bacterial small subunit ribosomal RNA", at positions 338 to 795 of the family's 1533-position model. The record is from RNAcentral.